Molecule: ribosomal RNA, 253 nt
Filed under: uncultured bacterium
Lineage: Bacteria
Description: partial 16S ribosomal RNA
Rfam family: Bacterial small subunit ribosomal RNA
Source: RNAcentral
UACGUAGGGUGCGAGCGUUAAUCGGAAUUACUGGGCGUAAAGGGUGCGUAGGCGGAAAUGUAAGUUAGAUGUGAAAUUCCUGAGCUUAACUUAGGGAUAGCAUUUAAGACUGCAUAUCUAGAGUUUGUGAGAGGGGGGUAGAAUUCCAAGUGUAGCAGUGAAAUGCGUAGAGAUUUGGAGGAAUACCGAUGGCGAAGGCAGCCCCCUGGCAUAGAACUGACGCUGAGGCACGAAAGCGUGGGUAGCAAACAGG